UAGUGGUGCUGUUGGUUGCAAUCUCAUGGUCUCUUUAACCACAGCUUUAAGGUAAGGCAAUUGUUGAACAUCAUCUUCGUACACAAAACCUUUAUCUCCUAUCACCUUUCGAACUUCUUCUUGAGCUUUUCUCAUUGCUUCAGGGUUUUUCAUUAGAAGGCUCAUGGCCCAGAUCACAGUAGCAGCAGCUGUUUCAGUCCCACCAAGAAAUAUGUUCUGCAAGGAUCAGGAAAAUAAAAUAAAAUGUAAGGAUGAUAUUUGAAACCAUUUACAAUAUUCAAAUCCAAAUCAUUUUGCUUGGGAAAUGAAAAUUAAAAGGCCGAAUUUGAGUCGAACUUAGAUUACCAUUAGAAUUGCUUUGAUGUGAUCAAGCGUUAGUUGAACUUUAAAAGUGCGAUCCUUGUAUAUUUGAAUCAAAACGUCAAGUAUGUCCUCAUGGUCGGGCUUUGGUCGCUCUGGAUCAAGAUGUUCAUCAAUGAUUUCUUGGUAGAAAACAUCAAACUCUCUGAAAUUUUUUUCAAGACGAUGGGCGAGUCCCGUGAGUCUAUCAACCCAUCCCAUGUAUGGAAAAUAAUCAGAAAGAUAAAACAUCGUAAACAGGGCUUGAGUUUCAUUAAGCAACGCAUGGAACCUACUUCCUUGAAUUCCUCCAUCCUCGUACCUUUUUCCAAAGGCAGUUCUGCAUAUGGCUGUGCUUGUAAGAGACAGCAUUGCUUCAGUCAAGUUGAAGGGUUUAGAAGCAAGAGCUGCUUUGGAAAUUUUUUCAAUCAUAUGCGAUACCUCAUCUUCUCUGUUGGUACGAAAACUUUGCACUCGUGUCGAGUUGAGGAGAUGAACGACACAUAUUUUUUUCAUCUCCCUCCAAUAAGCACCAUAUGGUGAAAAGGCCAAGUCUAAACCAUUGUAGGAAAAUUUUUGCUGGCCAGUCAAGAGCGGCCUGCUACAAAAUUCAAGAUCAUGGGUUUUCAGUACCUCUUCAGCCAUUUUGGCUGAAGAGAUGACGAGGGUUCGCUUGAAACCUAGCUUUAAGGACAUGAGGGGGCCAUAUUUUUGAGAUAGUUUCCAUAAAUGCGUUUGAAGGUUUGAGCUAUCAAGCUGGUGCAAGUUACCUAUCAAGGGAAGACCGUUGGGGCCAGGAGGGAAACGAGCUCUUUUAGAGAUUUUGUUUUUCUUGAGAAGAAACAAGAAAAUGAUGGAGAGGAAGAGAAUUACGAAUAGGAGUAAUGUCAUUAUGAUCUGAGUAUUUUUGAGCUGUGAAUUCUGCGAUACAAGCUUCAAUUAUAUAGAGAGUGUUUGCGGGUGAGUGUAUUUUUUAUUUAAAAAUAUAUUGAAAUAAUUUUUAUUUUUAUUUUUAAUAACUACGUCAAAAUGAUUAAAAAAUAUAAAAAAAAUUAAUUUAAAAUUUUUUCAAAAAAAUUUAUAAAUUUAAAAAAACAGAGUCCAGUUGCACUCCUACACGUACAGUGCAAUAUAGACAAAAAAGAAUAUUUAUGGAAAUAGAUUUCUAUCAUAUUAACUUUGAUUUCGAGCAUUUUAUUUGUGUAUAUGCACCAAUUUAAUUGAAAAUAUUUACUUCAUGUUUUGACUUGAAGUUUUUCCUCAGCAAUUAUAAUAACAAUAGCCCGUGUUCGAAAUUGAUCCAUAUAUCACAUGAUUAUUGCGUAUUUGAUGAGCAUUUUCUAGGGCUGUUCAAUAAACUCAUAAUGAAUGUCUGCCGUCUAGAUUUGAUUAUUGCGUAUAUAGAAAUCUUGCAUUCAAACCUAUUGCCUUUUAUUAUACCAAGAGAACGAUACUACGACAUACUAAGGUUUUCAAUUCCAGCCCGUUUCGUUUGAAAUAGCCGGUUAUAAUGCAUGUUCAGAUGCGACUUUUCAUCCCAAUCAAGGACAUACAAAAUGAAUUAAUUUUCUCCCUCAAUAAAAACUUGCGUGGGAAUUUUCAUGGGGCCAUUAAACUAGAAAUGGUGUAUAAUAAUUCAAUACAUUUUAGUGCGUGUAAUUUAUGAUCUGACGGCAUGAAUUAUUAAUUAUUAUUAUUAUUAAAGAAAAUUAAAACUUUGGAGAGAAUACUAUAGCUUUUUUUUUAAUGAAACACUAUGGAUUAUAAUGGAUCUUUUUGUCUUUUUGGAUAUGUUAAUGAUAAAUUAUUUUUAUAUGAACUUGUCAAUGUCUAAUGUCUGUAUAAAUUAUCUCUAUAUAAUCUUGUCAAUGUUAAAUUAUCAUCAUGUAAUCUUGUCAAGGUCCAGUAUUCGUGUAAGUUAUUUUGUCCCAUGUUGAAUUAUAGCAUCAAUCCUCAAAUCUCGAGUCACUCGGCGUUCCAAUCUAGAAAAACAGGAUUGGGCGUGCUAGGCUGUGUAUUUGUAUUUGUAUGUUUUAAAAAUAUUUUUAUCUUUUUAUUUAUAUUAAAUUAAUAUUGUUUUGAUAAUUUUAAAUCGUUUCGAUAUACUAUUAUUAAAAAUAAAAUUUAAAAAAUUUAAAAAUUAUUAUUUUGAUAUAUUUUUAAAACAAAAAAUAUUUUAAAAAAUAAUCACUAAAAUAUCAAGCUUUAUCUUACAUACUAGAGCUAACAUAUCAAGCCUUUUUUCCUUCUUCUCGAUGCCAUCCAAAGAUUGUGAGGGCGACCCCUCUCCGAUCACCGCCGCUGGACAUGUGCCAGACAUUCCACACACCAGGACUGUAUUCGUGGUGCACAAUCCAACCCACCCACGUGCCUCCUACACUUAAAAAGACUAAAAAAUACUGAGUAUAUUUGAAUACGCUGAUGUUUUUUAAAAUUUUGAAUUUUUUUAUUUAAAUUUAAUUUUUUUAAUGUUUUUAGAUUGUUUUAAUAUAUUGGUGUAAAAAUAAUAUUAAAAAAAUAAAAAAAUAUUAUUUUAAUAUAUUUUUAAACAAAAAAAAAAAAAAUUUUAACCAUGAAAUUUUCAAACAAAUACUUUAACAUGGACUCCAGCGUCUUUGACAAGGAAAAGAAAAUUUUCUGGUCGUACUGGAGAAGUUUCCUACCUUAGGGUCAUGAUGUUCAAAUAAUAAUAAUAAUAAUAAUAAUAAUAAAACUAUAAGGGUGAUUUGUUUACUUCAACAGAUUGAGUUACGAAGAGACAGGAAUGCAUUACUAUCAAUGUAAAUGAUCGACGAGGAGGAAAAGGAGGAUGAAUGUCCAAAUCAAAUUGGAAAUGGAAUAUCGCAUGAAUAUAUUUAAUGGAUUUGCCCUAAAUUUGGUGAACAAGGCUUAAUAAUUUUCUAUGAUGUUUUUUUUUUGUUUUCAUUUUCAAGUUUGGUAGAAUAGAAUUGUAAGAACAUUUAUGACUUUAUACUAUUAGUUUCAUGUUGAAUUUCUAUUUAAAUGGGAUGUUGGGAUUGUAUUCAAUUUGGACUUACGGUUCUUCUCUCUUCGAUGAGUCGAUGGAAUUGAGUGCUUAUGAGUUUAUUUAAUUUGAUGAAAUGAAUUGAUACUUUUAAAAGUAAUUUUGAAUUUUUAAAAAUUAUGUUUCAAUUUAUAUUAUGUUUCAAUUUAUCAUUUGUAGCCAAUAAUCGCCACCAGAAAAUUAACGAAUACAAACAGAAACAUCAAGAGACUAUAUCCAUUAAUAAACAUUGAUAUAAAUAUUCUCUCAGGAUAUGCCGAAGGAAUUACAUUAAGAGACAGCAUUCCUUCAGUCAAGUUGAAGGGUUUAGAAGCAAGAGCUGCUUUGGAAAUUUUUUCAAUCAUAUGCGAUACCUCAUCUUCUCUGUUGGUACGAAAACUUAAUUUGCACUCGUGUCGAGUUGAGGAGAUGAACGACACAUAUUUUUUUCAUCUCCCUCCAAUAAGCACCAUAUGGUGAAAAGGCCACGUCUAAACCAUUGUAGGAAAAUUUUUGCUGGCCAGUCAAGAGAGGCCUGCUACAAAAUUCAAGAUCAUGGGUUUUCAGUACCUCUUCAGCCAUUUUGGCUGAAGAGACGACGAGGGUUCGCUUGAAACCUAGCUUUAAGGACAUGAGGGGGCCAUAUUUUUGAGAUAGUUUCCAUAAUUGCGUUUGAAGGUUUGAGCUAUCAAGCUGGUGCAAGUUACCUAUCAAGGGAAGACCGUUGGGGCCAGGAGGGAAACAAGCUCUUUUAGAGAUUUUGUUUUUCUUGAGAAGAAACAAGAAAAUGAUGGAGAGGAAGAGAAUUACGAAUAUGAUUAAUGCCAUUAUGAUCUGAGUAUUUUUGAGCUGUGAAUUCUGCGAUACAAGCUUCAAUUAUAUAGAGAGUGUUUGCGGGUGAGUGUAUUUUUUAUUUAAAAAUAUAUUAAAAUAAUUUUACUUCAUGUUUGUGUAUAUGUACCAAUUUAAUUGAAAAUAUUUACUUCAUGUUUUGACUUGAAAUUUUUCCUCAGCAAUUAUAAUAUAACAAUAGCCCGUGUUCGAAAUUGAUCCAUAUAUAACAUGAUUAUUGCGUAUUUGAUGAGCCUUGAGCAUUUUCUAAGGCUGUUCAAUAAACUCAUAAUGAAUGUCUGCCGUCUAGAUUUGAUACUAUAAAGAAAUCUUGCAUGCAAACCUAUUGCCUUUUAUUAUACCAAGAGAACGAUACUACUACAUACUAAGGUUUCCAAUUCCAGCCCGUUUCGUUUGAUAGUUAAAAAAACAAAAUAAAUUAGAAUAAAUUUUAUCUUGUUUAAAAUCUUGGUUUAUUCCAUAAAUUCUGUUCAAAUUCCGGUUAUUUCUGUCUCGACCAAUCAUUCUAGCCAAAUAAUGUGUGUUUUUUUUUUGUUUUUUUCAAUCUUAUCUAUCAAUCCGAUCGUUGAAUUAGAUUGAAAUUUUACAAGGAGCUACUAAUAUAUUUUUAUAUCUCAUGUUAAAAUAUUAGAAUAAUAAAAAAUUAGAAAGGCCUUGUAAGAUUGCCGAUGGUGUUUUCAUAAUUUUAUUUAAAUUUGUAAUUUUGUUUCGAAAGGUUACUUUUGUGUUUUUUUUUUAGAUUUGAUUUUUUCCAAUUUCAUCGUUCAACAAUAAGUUUAUUGAGAAUUGAACUUUAUAUUUUAUUUUGAUUUGCUUUAUUUGGGGUUAUUAUGAUCUCAUGAUGUAAGUCAUAAAUUUAAAAGGUUAACCCAGAUUGACCCGAGUAAAUACAAUAUGUUCUCGUCUCAAUAUUUAUUUUUUAAAAUGUCAUCUUAAUUUUUUUUAAUUAAACUAUAUUUUUAUCAGUCAUCUAAGUUAUCUUUGAACUUAUUAAAUUGAUCAGGUCAUAUCGGUUCAACUCUCAUUUUUUUGAAUCAGUUCAACAGAAUCUUAAGAAAUAUUUGUUGGAAUUAAUUUUGAAGUUUUCUUUCAAAGUGUUUUUUAGUUUUUUUAGUUAUAUGCAUGUAACUAUUAAAGAUAUAUUUAUUUUUAAAAUCUCUUAAAUUAUCCUGAACUAAUAUGAAUAUAUGUCUAGAAUAUUAUAAGUUUAAAUUAAAAGCUAUAAAGAUUUCUUCUCUUAUAAAAGUAAUGUAAGAGAUUUGUUUUUCAUCAUGUUCCCAUGUUUUCAUUUUUACUUUUCUCCUUCAAAUAUUUCUAACAGUAUUCAGUAACUCCCAAAGCGUCAACACUGAAUUCAAAGCUCUCAUAGCUUAUUUUCAUGCAUCCAAAUUAAAUGAGAGAUCUCCAAUGUAGCUCUAGUAGUUCAUCCCAGCACAAACAUCAUUGCAUCAACGACAUACAAGACUAUAACAAAAAGAAUCCCCCGGCUGUCUAGAGGUGGCCAUGGGCUGUUCAAUAAAGAUAUAUUUAUUUUUAAAAUCUAUUAAAUUAUCCUGAACUAAUAUGAAUAUAUGUUAGAAAAGGUUUCUCUGUUUCUUAGGAAAACAACGUGAAUAUACAGCAAUACUUUCUGCAAAGGCCGCUAGUUAUUAUAUAGCAAUGCAGGUUGCUUAAUUUGGAUACAUUAAAUAGCCUAAUUCUCAGCUGAUUUGUUUCCAUAGCCAGCCAACUUCUCUUUCUGUUUUUGUCUUGUCCUCCAAUCUAAUCUUCAUUGUUGCUGCAGUUGAUUUGUUUCUAUAAUCAACCAAUGUCUUAACGUCUCUUCCUAUUUUUAUUUUGUUAUCAUGGGAGUGAUUUGUUUCCAUGUUGCUGGUUUAAUUUGAUCUGCUCCAUCUGCAUCUGUCUUAUUACCAUUAAUAAGUUUACGUGAAUGCUUGGGCUGUUGGAAGGGACCCGGAAGGCUGGGAGAACCCAUAUGAGUUCAAUCCUGAUAGAUUCUUGGGCAGUUCUAUUGAUCUGAAAGGAAAAAAAAAAAAAAAAAUUCAAAUGCCAUCUGUGGUGAAUAGGGAAGAUAUAGACAUUGAUGAUGUGCUCGUCAAGAAAAAAAGAAAAUUCAAAUUCUUUUAAGAAAAUUAUGUGGUUGAUGAUUUAACUUUUGGUGUUCAAACUUCUCACCAUCAUUUUCAACCACACUAAACCACCAAUCAUCCACCAUGCGUUGUUCUUUAAAGUCAACAUUUUGAACAGAAAAACCACCAAUCAUCUUGUCCAAAACAAAAAUGCCCCGCUCAGCAAGAGCAUAGAUCCAAAACCUGACAUCUUGAUCUCGAGAAGCUGAAAGAUAAAUGGAUAUGAACAAGUUUGAUCCUCGAGUCGCAGGGCACUCUUGUAUUCUGCAUAGAUCCAAAACCUGACAUCUAGUCGCCAGUCUUUUAACAUCAACUUUGGUCCAAAUUCAAAGUACGUUUUUCUUGUAGCUGUCAAGUAUAUAUCCAAAUUCAACUUUGCUCUUGAAUUUUUUAUUUGAUUACGUGGCAAUAAAAAAGGAUUUUUGUAAAAAAAUAAUAAUUUAAAUAUUAUAAAAAAAUGUGAUAUGUCAGUAUGAAUUCUCUUUUCCUUAUUAAUGCAUUUUCUUUUCAAAAAAAAAAAAUUGUUUUUGGCAAUUUUGUUUAUUGCAUAAAAAACUAAAAUCAAUAAAAAUCAAUAUAAAAAAAAUAACUAUUAAGAAUAAGGAAAAAAAGGUAACCAUUUCUUAAAAAACCUUGUACCUUAUUAACGCAUUUCUUUCCUUUCGUUCUCAUUUUUUUUUAAUCAUAUGUAUUGUUUUUAAACAAGACCUUAUCGUAAUAAGAAAUUAAAAAAAUAAUGAAUUAAUAGUUUUAAUGUGGAUAUAUUAAAAACAUAUAAGAAUAAUAAACUUGAAAAAAAAUUACAAUAUACCUUUUUUUAGCCAUGUAGCUUAUUGCAUUAAAACUAAAAGCAAUUAAAAAUAAAUAUCUAAAAAAAAUUAAGAUUUGAAAUAAAAUAAAAAAAGUUUCUCUUUAAUCAAAACCCUUUUCCUAAAGCAUUCUUCUUCUUUUGAUAAAUUUUUUUUUUUAUCAAAAGCAUUGUUCUUUAAAUAAAAACAUCAUAAUCCUAAAAGCAAGUUUUAUUAAAACAAAACUAGAAAAAAUAAUGAAUUGAUAAAUUUGACACUAAUGUAUUGAAAAUAUAAUAAUACUAAUUUUGAAAAAGAAAUAUAUAAAAACUUACAAUAACAAAAUAAAAAAAUAUAAAUAUUUGAUUCACAUUAAUUAUUCAAGGUUCAUUUAUAAUUAUUUCGAAAAUAAUUGUUAAUAUUAUUGUAAAAGAUAUUAAUAUUAUUUUAAAAAUAAUAGCAUAAUUGAAUAAUUAUGUAAAUAUUAUUUUAAUAAAUUUAUUUAUUAAAUGAAAAAAAAAUCAAGUAAAAAACUUAAAGAGACAUGAGCAUAGGUGCUUAAAAUUUGGGCCCACAUGCCUAACAACAUUUAAAGUCUAGGUUUUUUUUUUAAAGAAAUAAAAAUGGAAUGUACUAUUUUUUUUAAAUAAAUAAAUGGGCAAUGAGUUGCCAAUAUGAGUAAACAACGCGUCGUCCAUUUAUAACUAGAAAAUUAGGGUCAAAGUCUUUAGACCAAAAAAUCUAGAUUUCAAUCAUUUUUCAUCAAAAUAUAAUCACAUGAACCUCUAAAACUCCAUUUCUAAUAACAAGAUAUAUUUUAAUUGGUCUAAAAACUCAUAAUUCCUAAAAUAUAUCAAAAAAUAAUAUUUAUCCAUAAAAUAGAAAGUAAAUUAUGUAUUUCUAAAUUAGAAAGUACAAAGAGGAUAUGUCUCUAAAAAUAUAUUUUUUUAUUUUUAUUCCUAAAAUAUUCUUGUAAAAAAAUCAUAAUUGCAAAAUCAUUCAACUAAGCUUUGAAGGAAUAAAAAUGGUUAUUAUCAUAGUUUUAAAACUCAAUUGGGUCACAGGUAAAAAGGUUGACCCUAAUCUUUUUUAAGCAAAAUAGAUUGCGGGUUGACUAGGGUUUUUGAUCGGUUCAAACUAGGUCAAUCCAUCCUAUUUUUUAAAAAACUCAUAUCAGUUCAAGCCUUAUGUAGACAACAAAAUAAAUAUUAAGAUGUUCAUAUUAUAAAAAAAGCUAAAUUAUGUGGGAAAAACACUAUGACUUUCCUCACAAAACAUUAUUGAUUGCUAUAAUGUUUCCCCACAUUGUUUUUUUUACACAUGUUUUUUUAUGAUUUUUUUCAAAAUUAUUUUUGUCGAUUUCAUUUUUUAAUACUGAAAUGGUUGAGAAUUUAAUUUUGUAUUUUUUCCUUUUAUUUUAUCUAUCUAUGUGGUUAGCGAGAUUAGUGUGGUUUGCGGAUUUGUAGUCAAGGUAAUCCAGAUUGCUCCAGUUUAUGGAUGUGGUGUGUAUUUUUUUUUUAUGAUGUGGGGAAAGCACUGUAGCUUUCCUCACAAAACAUUGUGGAUUGCUACAGUGUUUCCCUAUAUUAUUAUUUUUUACACGGUUUUUUAUGUUUUUUUUUGUUAUGAUUUUUUUCAAAAUUACUUUUGUCGAUUUUGUUUUUUUUUUAAUAUUAAGAUGGUUGAAAUUUUAGAUUUGUAAUUUUUUUCUUUUUAUUUUGUCUUUCUAUGACGUUAGCGUAGUUUGCGGGUUUGUCGAGGUAACUCAGGUUGCCUCAGUUUAUGGAUGUGGUAUUUUUUUUUAAUUGAACUUGACCUUUUUUAUAAUCUAUUUUUUUCUCAUAUUAUUAAAAAAGUAGUUUUAAAGAAAAAACAUGUUAUUAAACUUUAUGAAAUAAAAAAAAUUAAAACUCAUUGCACUGUGGAUUAUAAUAGUAAUCCAUAGUGUUUUGCUUUCAUUUUCUUUCUCUUUUUUUCUUUUGAUUUUUUUGUUAUGAUUUGUUUUCAAAUGUAUUUUUGUCGAUUUCAUUUUUUUAAAUUGAGAUUGAUGAGAAUUUAACUUUGUAAUUUGUUUUUUUUUUUUGACAUUAUAUGAGGUUAACAUGGUUUACAUGUUUGCCAAGGUAACCCAAGUUGCCCCGUCCUACGAGUUUGGUGGGUUGUUUUUUUAAUUGAACUUGAUUUUUUUUAUAGUCUAUUUUUUCUCAUAUAGUUAAAAAAUAAUUUUAGAGAAAAGUCAUGUUAUUAAAUUUAUAAAGUAAAAAAAAUUAAAAGGUGUGAGAAAACCAUUGUUGACCCAUAUAUAUUGCACUGUGAAUGACAAUGGUAAUCCACAAUGUUUUACUUUCUUUCUUUUUUCUUUUUGUUAUGAUUUUUUUUCAAAUUUGUUUUGUCGAUUUCAUCUUUUAAUAUUGAGAUGAUUGAGAAUUUAACUUUAAAAUUUAUUUCCUUUUAUUUUACCUUUCUAUAAAGUUAGCAUGGUUUGCAAGUUUACCAGCGUAACUCGGGUUGCCCUGAUUUACGAGUAUGGUGGAGUGUUUUUUUAACUAAACUUGACUUUUUAAUCGCCUAUUUUUUUCUCAUAUAGUUAAAAUAAAUAGUUUCAAAAAAAGUUGCAAACCAUGCUAUUGGGUUAAUUGGAAAUUCAGUUUCAGAAUUAGUUUUGUUUGCCUUUUAUGGGGUUAUAGUGAUCUAAAAACAAUCUCGGUAUUAAGUUGGUGUUUGAUUUUACAAUCAUUUACUUUUGUUAUCAUAUAGUUAAAUAAAAAAUAGAUUGAAAAAAACAAAUUAUUAUUUAAGUGGAGUCUAUAACUCAGUUCACAGGUUUAGCGUACUAGCUCGGCUUACCCAAUUCACAGGUUUGACGAGAUUACCCACCGAUGGGAUAUUCUUUUAUUUAUUUAUUUCAUCAUUUAACAUUUGAUUGGUUAAAAAUAUACUACAUUAUUAAUUUUUGUUUGCUUUCAAGGGAUGAUUGUCUCAAAUAAGUUUCUUUUUUAGGUUAGUGCUCAAUUUUAUGAGCAUUUGUUUUUAUCAUACAAUUAAAUAGAAACAAUUAUGAAAAAAAGUUAUUAAACCCAAUAAAGUACAUGACCUGGGUUGCGGAGGGUCGAGAUUGAUCAUUAUCUCAAUAUUUUAAAAAAAAUUAUCAUCCUGAAGUUUUUUUAAAAGCUAAGUCAUGUUUUUAUCGAUCAUCAAGAUUGCAUUUAGACCUAUGAAAUCGAUUGAUUUAAGACGAGCUAGCUUUCAUACGGUUUAAUUAAAAACUUGAGUUAGACAAAGAGUUGAGUCGGGAGGUUUUAAAAUUACCCAUUUGAUCAAGUUUAAUAAUACUAUUAAAAAAUUAUCCAUGGUCUUAAUAUUUUUUUUUAUUUUAAAAAAAAUCGAUCCAACCCGUGAUAGAGUGCGGGAUAAUAUUAACUAAUAUACUAAACCGUGUGGGGGAUUUACUGUUCCCCCACACACAAAACACUGUGGAUUACAACAGUAAUCCACAGUGAUUCUUCUCCCUGUUUGUUUUUUAUUUAUUUUUUUUAUUUUAGAUUUUUAGCUUUUUAGCUUUUCCCUUUUUUUUUUUUUUUCAAAUUUUUUUUUCAGCUUUCUUAUUUUUUUUUCAUUUAUUUUUUUUUCAAAAUUAUUUUUGUUGAUUUUACCUUUUAAAUAUUAACCUGGUUAAAAUUUUUGCUUUAUAAUUUUUUUCUUUAAAAUACUGUGGAUUGCUGUGAUGUUUUUCCACUUAGUUUUUCUAUUUUAUUUCUUUAUUUUUCAAAAUUAUUAACUAAUAUACUAAACCGUGUGGGGGAUUUACUGUUCCCCCACACACAAAACACUGUGGAUUACAACAGUAAUCCACCGUGAUUCUUCUCCCUGUUUGUUAUUUUUUUUUUAAAAAGCUUUUCCCUUUUUUUUUGUUUUUUUUUCAAAAUUUUUUUUAAGCUUUCUUUUUUUUUUCAUUUAUUUUUUUUCCAAAAAUUUUUUUGUUGAUUUUACCUUUUAAAUAUUAACCUGGUUAAAAUUUUUGCUUUAUAAUUUUUUUCUUUAAAAUACUGUGGAUUGCUGUGAUGUUUUUCCACUUAGUUUUUCUAUUUUAUUUCUUUAUUUUUCAAAAUUAUAUUUUUCGAUUUUUUUAUAAUAUUGAGCUGAUUGAGAAUUUGGUUAUGUAAUUUUUUUUCUUUAAAACAUUGUUGAUUGCUACAGUGUUUCUCCGCAUGAUUUUUUUCUCUCCAAAAUUAUCUUUUUUUUUUAUUUUAUUUUUUAAUAUUAAGCUGGUUAAAAAUUACAGUUACAAUAUGUAAGGAAAACACAUGGUUUUUUGUAUAAUUUUUUUCAAAUUAUCCCUUUCAAUUUUAUUUUUUUAAUAUUAAGUUGUUUGUGAGUUACAAUUACAAAUCAUUACAAAUAAGGCUAAAUCAUGUGGGGAAGCACUGUAGCUUUCAUCACAAAACACUGUGAAUUGCUACAGUAUUUCCAACAUGAUUUUUUUUUUCCUUUUUUUGGUGUUUGUUUUGUUAUUUUUUUUCUAAAAUUGUCUCUGUCAAUUUUGUUUUUAAUAUUGAGCUGAUUAAGAAUUUAGCUUUAUAAUUUUUUUCUUUAAAACACUGUGAAUUGUUGCAGUGUUUUUCCAUGUGAUUUUUUUAUGAUUUUUUUCAAAAUUAUCUUUGUCGAUUUUUUUAAAAUAUUGAGUUGGUUAAGAAUUAUAAUUACAAUAAAACUAAAUCCUAUGAGGAAAGCGUUGUAUUUUUUCUCACAAAACACUGUGGAUUGCUACAAUAUUUCUCUAAAUGGUUUUUUAUUUUAUUUUAUUGGGAAAAGCGUUAUAGUUUUCCUCACAAAACAUUGUCAAUUGCCACAACGUUUUUUCUCAUGGGUUUUUUUCCUUCCAAAAUUAUCUUGGGUUUUUUUUUAAUAUUAAGUUGGUUGAGAAUUUAGCUUUGUAAUUUUUUUUUCUUUUUAUUAACUGAAAAGCUAAAUCAUGUGGCGAAAGCACUGUAUCUUUCCUCACAAAACACUGUAAAUUACCACAAAUCAUUUUGUUCAGUCUCUAAGUUUUGGAUCACCAACACAACUUUUUUUUUCGUCAUGAAAUAUUUGCUCCAUCAUACCUUUAAUUUCUAUUACUGAUCUAGCGCUGGUUUACAAUUAUAACACUAUCAAAUGCAUUUGUUUUAUAAGCCCGCGGCAGCGCGCGGGCAUGUCAUCUCGUUAGUAUAUUAAGACACAAAAAGCAGUCUGAUAUGGACUCUUGUACUUGGCCCUAUUUGUUUUUACGUUUCAAAUUUUUUUUUAUUUUUUUCUUUGCUUCAAAGAAAAAUGAUUUUAAAAAAUAAAAAAACUUUAUUUUGAUGUAUUUCUAAGCAAAAAACACUUUAAAAAGCAACUGCUACCACACUCUUAAAUACCCUCUACAGGGAUAAUGACCUCACCAUUUCCUCACAUGUUUUUCUCUUGUUACAGAUUAGUUGAUGUGGUGGUUUGAGGUAGAACAACUCACAGGUCUAUUUAUAACUUUUUAUUAUACUAUAUUUUAAAACGUGAGGAAAAAUCAUUGUGCUACUACUGUCUAUAUAGAGUAUUUGCAUUGUGAACUACACUGUAUAUAUAGAGUGUUUGUACUGUGGACCACAUUGUAGAUGUUCAGAGGACCAUGAGGACAUUGUCCUUUCUAUUUUUUUAUUUCAAAAGUUGCUGGCAUGUGUUAGGUCAAGAUAUGGCUGCCAGACCCAGGGUUAUUAGGCCUGCAUGGUCGUCAUACCCAUUAAAAAAAACAAAUUAUAAAAAAAAUUAGGAUUUCUGUUUAGAAUAUUUCAAGAGUAGUUUAAUUUUUUUUAAGACAUUUAAGACAUUUCAAGGGUAGUUUAAAUGUUUUUUUUAAUAAAAAAUAAAGAAAUUAUAAAACAAAUUAAUUAGCAUUUCUGUUUAGGAUAUUUCAAGGGUAGUUUAAAUAUUUGUUAUUAUAAGAAAUAUAAAUAAUUUAUAAAAAACAUUAUUUAGGAUACUUCAAAGGUAGUUAAAAUGUUUUUAAAAAAAUUAAUUAACAUUUCUGUUUAGGUUACUCCAAGGGUAGUUUAAUUGUAUUUUUUAUAAAAAAUAGAAAAGAAAUUAUAAAAAAUAUUAAUUAGCAUUUCUAUUUAGGAUACUUAAAAUGCAGUUUAAAUGUUUUCUUCGUAAAAAAUAGAAAUUAUUUAUAAAAUAAAUUAUUUAGGAUACUUCAAGGAUAGUUUUAAUUUUUUUUAUAGAAAAAUUAAAAACAAUUAUUAAAUAAAUUAAUUAGUAUUUCUAUUUAUGAUAGUUCAAGAGUAGUUUAAAUUUUUUUAUAAAAAUAAAAAUUAAUUAUAUAAAACAUUAAUUAACAUUUCAAUUUAGGAUACUUCAAGGUUAGUUUAAAUAGUUUUUUUAUAACAAAUAAAAAGCAUUAUAAAAAAAUUAAUUAGUAUUUUUGUUUAGGAUACUUUAAAUAUUUUUUUUCUAAAAACAAUUAUAAAAAUAUUAAUUAGGAUUUCUAUUUAGGAUAUUUUAAGGGUAGUUUAAAUGGUUUUUUUCUAAAAAUAAAUAAAAAAAAAAUUAAUUAACAUUUCUAUUUAGGCUACUUAAAGGGUAGUUUAAAUAUUUUUUCUUAUAAAAAAUAGAAAAACUUUAUAAAAAGCAUUAUUUAGGAUACUUCAAGGGUAAAUUAAAUAUUUUUUUAUAAAAAAUAAUAAAUUUAUUUUAACAAAUUAAUUAGGAUUUUUGUUUAGAAUAUUUUAAAGGUAGUUUAAAUGCUAUUGUUUUUAUAAAAAAUAGAAACAAUUAUAUAUAAAAAAAUUAAUUAGUUUUUCUAUUGAGAAUACUUUAAGGUAGUUUAAAUGUUUUUUUAAAUAGAAAAAAAUUAUAAAAAAACUAUUUAGAAUUCUUCAAUAGUAGUUUAAAUGUUUUUUUUUAAUAAAAAAUAGAAAAUAGUUAUAAAAAAUUAUUUAGGAUACUUUAAUGAUAGUUUUAAUGUUUUUUAAUAAAAAAAAUAAAAUAAAAAAAUAAAAUUUAUUAAUUAGGAUUUCUGUUUAGGAUACUUCAACGGUAGUUUAAAUAUACCCACGUUGCUGGGUUCAUUUUGGGUGUUCUUUGGGUUCUUUAUUUUUUUUUUGAUCUGUUUUGUUUAAAUUUUUUUGAAUAUUUAUGUUUUUUGUUGUGUUUAAUCUCUUUUUUUUUUGCUUUAAUUUUGUUUUUGGGUUGUUUUCGGAUCAAACUAGAAUUUUGGUUCGCUUUAUGGUCGAGUUAAAUUUUCGGGUUGACUCAAUCAGGUCAGGUAAAAAAAUGGAUCAAAGGGUUUAAUACCCUAUUUGGCUUGCCAUAAUUUUUGUUAAAGGGUUAUUGGGUUUAAGAGUAUGUUUGGUAAACACUCUUUAAGCUUAUUUUUUGUGGUUUUAUUACAAAGAAAAAACGAGUUUUUGCCGAACAAAACCUAAAAAGUUUCUAAAAAAAUUAAAAAUAUAUUUUCUUUUUUUUCUUGCAUAUGGCUAAAAAUACUUAAGUUAUUUAAGUAAUUUUAAAAAAAUCUCAAAAACUUUGACAUGUUUUUUUUUAAAAAAUAUUGCAUGGAUUUUACAAUAAGUUUGUAAAUUUCUAAAGAAUUUUGGCCUACAUUUCAAAAAUACCAAAAAAAUUUAUUUUUACUCUUUAUAUUUCAUAGAAAGACAAUUUUUUUUGUUGGCAUUAGAACGACUAGAUUUUUAAUAUGUUAAGAUAAUGAUCUCCUUACUAAGGAGGAUUUUUUUCUUAGUUUAUAUCAGACAAAUAAACAAUACAGCUUAUCUUAAGUAAGGCUUAUUAGGGUUGCUAAUACCUUUCUUUUACGCAAUCAGUUUCCUUUCCUAAACUAUGAGAUCAAUUAAGAUUUUUAGUGACCAAAAUACUAAGUGAUGAUUCUUUUUUUUUUUACUGAUAAAUAACAAAAAAUUAUUAUUUUCACCUACAUGAUUCCCGACUAUCUUAAUCUAGAAAGAUAAUCAUGGUGACAACGCACACACAUGCAACAAAGAUCUCUAUCAAACUUGGACGUUAUGAAUUCAUUAUGAAUUUAUUUGACACCCAUAGCAUAAAUUUAUAUUUGAUAUCCAGCUAUCUAAACAAAAACAAUUCCUCUUAUUCACUAAUUGCCUAUACAAAUAAUUAUGAAAUGUUAAGUAAAUUGAUUAUAUAAUGUUGUGUUGUGAAAAAAAAAAAAAGGAACACACACCUUUUUUUUAUUUAAAAUCGUGGGGGGGGGGGGAAUAUUUAUGAAGUUCUUAGGGGACUAAAUUAUUUUACUUAAUAUAGUUAUGCUCCUCGUGCGCAAACAAGGCGAGUUUUAGCCACAUGCCAACCUCGUAGCAAAAGGUCCAAACUUUUGAUACAUUCAUUAUUGUCAAUAAUUAUAAAAUAACUGCCACAAAAAUAAAGAAAAUGUCGAAAGCCCGCAACAUGUGGAAACCAUCAUGCAUGCCAUGUCAAAGAACUCUGCACCGAAAGUUGCGCGCUGUAAUGUGCUGGGAUGGUAGCUGCAUGUUGAAGUCAGAAAUGGCAGCAAGUCAGGUGAUCAAAAUUGUUGAUAAAGAGAGGAGGUAGCUGCCAUCCUUCCCCCAAUCUUGCACUAUAAAUAGAGCUGUAAUUGUGCAGCAAAAGGUACGCCAAGAGUGAGAGAAACAAGCAGCACAGGAGAGCCAAUUGUGAGGGGAGAAAUUUGCAUAAUAAGUGAGACAGGAGAUUUGCAUUUGUGUGUAAGAGAGUUGUGUAAACACCAUUUGUAAUUCUCCAUAUUUAAAAUAGUGUUUUCCCGCUGCCCGUGUACAUGGGAGAUUUGCCAAACCACAUAAAUUUGUUUUGUCUCUGUGUGUGAAUUAUUCUUAUUGUUUUUUAAAAUAUUUUUAUAAAAUAAAGUUUUAGCCAUGUUUACGAACAACACAUUAAACUUCUGCUGUGUAAUAGCAGUAAAAUAAAUCAUAAAAGGUAAAAAAAAAAAAAAAUACAAGUUUCUUAUUAAUUAAUGGAAAUAAAACCUGAGAAUUCCUUGAAAAUUGAUAUAUCAAGAGUUAAUUAGGGCUAGUUGGAUCAAUCUUUAUAUAUAUAAUACAAUUGAUAUAUUGAUUAUUGAGACAAAAUACAGCUAGUUCAGGAUGUUAGAGAAUAAUAUAAAUCAUAUUCUGGAACCUCACCUACAAGCUUAAGCUUUUGGGUUGAGAUGGUGUUUUGACAUGGUAUCAGAGCCUCGAUGACCAAACGGUCACAAGUUCAAAUCUCACCAUCCCUAUUUAUUUAAUAAAAAUUAAGCACAAGGUAAUGUGAGCCUGUGUAAGGUUCAAGCCCAAAGAGCUUUUACUUGAGGGGGUGUAUUAGAGAAAUUUCUUCCCUUGCUUAUUCUCUCCUUUCUUCUAUUAUGAAUACCAUCACAGUCAUGAACUUCUUAGUUUAGACAAACUCUACACACCCUAUUGCUAGAUCAAAAGAACCAGUUGACCCACUGGAAAGAUGUGCGAAAGCUAGCUCUUAAUUUGAAGUGAGAUUUUAACUGACGACCAAGAUACCGAAACAAAGGGAACCAGGAUGUUAGCAGUUGUAGCAUUGCUGUGUCGUACUGCUUUUUUUUUAUAUUGUUUUUAUAAGCAAACAAGAUUAAGCCAAGAGAUGGCAAAAUAAGCAACCCAAAGGGUCACCAUGAAAAACAGAUACAGCAGAAAAAAAUGAAGGAACCCAAGCAAACAAACUAGCCCAGGAAAUGACUAGACUAUAAUUUUGAAACAAUCGAAUCUCCAGCCUCAGCCAUUUCCUUCUCCACAAUACCAAUAGCAAUCGGCUUCUUAAGGAUUAGCUCUGUAUGGCUCCCAGAAGUUUAAUCAGUUCGACAGAAUCUUAAGAAAUAUUUGUUGGAAUUAAUUUUGUAGUUUUCACCCAAAUUGUUUUUAGUUCUUCUAGUUCUCCUAAGUAUAUGGAUGUAAUUAUUAAAAAUAUAUUUAUCUUUUAAGUCUCUUGAAUUAUUUUAAAUUAGUAUAAAUAUAUGUUUAGAGUAUUGUAAAUUUAAAUCCAAGUUUAUAAGGACUUUCUUUUUUAAAAGAGUAAUGUAAUAUAAAUGAGAUUGGUUUUUCACCAUGCUUUCUAUGUUUUCAUUUUUACUUUUCUGCUUCAAAUAUUUCUAGCAAUAUUCUGCAACUCCCAAAGCGUCAACACUGAAUUCAAAGUUCCCAUAGCUUAUUUCCAUGAAUCCAAAAUGAGAUCUUAAAUGAGAGAUCUCCAAUGUAGCUCUAGUAGUUCAUCCCAGCACAAACAUCAUAGCAUCAACGACAUACAUAAGACAAUAACAAGAAGAAUCCCCCGGUUGUCUAGAGGUGGUCAUGGACACUUGUCAAAAGAAACAGUGCUUUCAGCCUCAUCGGGAGGCAUCUUUGGUAACCUUUCCUGUCCUCUGAGGUAUGAGACCUCUUGAGAACUACUAUCUCUCCCCCUUCUAGUGGAGGAAGGUUGAGAAGCGUCUCUCUCGAAUCUAGGGUCUAUUUUUAUGGUCGAAGAUCCUCGACUAAAGAUUCCAGUUUCAGGUCUGAAACUGGAAUUUCAUUUAUGAGACGCAUUUUUUUUCUUUUUUAGAAGUCAUUCUUAAAAAUGUUUAAGUUUUUGAAAAAUAGGAAAAAAGAUGAAGAUUAUUUUGUUUAUCUAAAGGAAAACUCCUUUGCGAAGAGACUUGCUCUCGUAUGCUUUCAUUUUAAGACUUCUAAAUCAAGGAAGGCAGAGGAAAAUUUUGGCAAAGGUAAAAGUAGAAUUGAAGAGAAAAAAGGUUUCGAUACAAGCCACUACCUUCUACUCCCUGUUGGGCUAUUUCCAGAACUCAAUCACACACAAUUUACGUGGUUCGGCAACUUGCCUACUCCACGGAGCUACUGGUUUGUAUUAAUGAAGCUUACAAACAAUACAAACAAAGGAGGAGGAGAUAAAACUCUCUCAACUCAACUCUACUCUCUCAAGCUCUCUCUAUUCUUCUCUGUUCUCUCUUCUCUCUGUGUUUCUCACGCUGCUCUCUCUGUGUUCUUCAUACACACACAGCUAUACAUAUACAAUUGAUGAUUGAAGGGGCAUGAUUGAUGCCCACCGUUGCCUCCACUUUGUGUCCUCCACCAUGUGCCAAGUGGGAGAUUAGGUAUUCCCACUUGCAUAUGGUGGGACAUUGUUUGUCUCCACUAACUAACAAUCUCCCACUUGGAGACAAACAAUGAAAUCAUCAUUUAUCCUUGAAGACCAACUGAAGUUUUACACAACUUCAGUUUAUCAAGUGUAACUCCUUUGGUUAACAUGUCAGCUGGAUUCUUGCUUCCACAGACCUUUUCUAGCAUUAGUUGCUCGUCAUCCAGCAGUUGUCGGAUGAAGUGAUAUUUGAUCUGAAUAUGCUUCGUCCUGGAGUGAAAUGCUGGAUUCUUGGCAAGGAAGAUUGCACUCUGACUGUCGCUAUACAAAGUACCUUUUCCAUUCAACUUGCCCAAUUCCUUCAGGAAACUCUGCAACCAUACUAUCUCUUUUGCAGAUUCUGAGACUGCAACAUAUUCAGCUUCUGUUGUUGAAAGAGCAACGAUCUUUUGCAAGGUAGAACUCCAGGAAACAGCAGUACCUCCUAGAGUAUAAACAUAUCCUGUAGUGCUCUUUCUGCUAUCAACAUCUCCUGCUAGAUCAACAUCUACAAAACCUUCAAGUUUCAAACCACCAGCUGUGAAACUGAGACAAGUUUCCGAGGAACCUUUUAAGUACCUCAUGAUCCAUUUGACCGCCUCCCAAUGCUGCUUUCCAGGAUUGCUCAUAUAUCGGCUUACAACUCCCACUGCAUGGGCAAUGUCUGGUCUGGUACAGACCAUAGCAUACAUCAAAGAGCCGAUAGCUGAGGCGUAUGGAAUCUUAUCCAUGUAUCCACUUUCUAGCUCAGUUUUUGGUGACUGAUCUUUGCUGAGCUUGAAAUGAUUCCCCAGUGGUGUACUUACUGGUUUAGUAUUAUCCAUACUAAACCUGCUGAGAACCUUCUUGACAUACUCUGUUUGUGAAAGCUUUAGUACGCCUUUGUCUUUAUCUCUGAAGAUUCUCAUGCCAAGUAUUUGUUUAGCAGCUCCCAGAUCCUUCAUUUCAAACUGUUUUGACAACUGCUGUUUCAGCUUAUCAAUCUCCUCAAUGCUGGAUCCUGCAAUCAACAUAUCAUCAACAUAUAAUAGUAGAAUGAUGUAGGAGUUGUCAAAAUGUUUGACAUAGCAACAAUGAUCAGCUUGGCAUCUUGUAUACCCGGAACUGCACAUGAAGUUGUCAAACUUCUUGUACCACUGUCUUGGAGCUUGCUUCAAACCGUAUAGGCUUUUCUGUAGCUUGCAGACUUGAUUCUCCUUUCCUUGCAUUGCAAACCCUUCUGGCUGUUGCAUGUAAAUAUCUUCCUCCAAGUCACCAUGAAGGAAUGCUGUUUUUACAUCUAACUGUUCAAGAUGUAAAUUUUCUGCAGCUACUAUCCCCAGAACAACUCUGAUUGUUGUGAGCUUCACAACUGGAGAAAAUAUCUCAGAGUAGUCAAUGCCUUUCUUUUGUUGAAACCCUUUGACAACAAGUCUUGCCUUGAACCGUUUACUUCCGUCAUGCUCAGUCUUCACUCUGUAAACCCACUUGUUUUGUAAAGCCUUCUUUCCUUCAGGCAGUGUGGUUAGCUCCCAAGUCUUGUUCUUCAGCAACGAACUCAUCUCAUCCUUCAUGGCUAACUCCCACUUGCUUGAGUUUCCAUCUUGUAAGGAUUCUUCAUAAGUUAGCGGUUCACCACCAUCUGUCAACAAAAUGUAAUUCAGUAAAAGUGUGAACCGUUGCGGGGGCUUUAUCGUCCUCGAAGACCUGCGAACAGCUGGUUCAAUUUGCUCCGCAUCUUCUUGUGUAGUAGCGGGUACAGAUAUGCUUGAGUCUUCUUGUAAAGACUCUUGAUUGUUGUUCUGCUCAGUAACAUCGGGAAGGCCUUCUAAUCUUAUGAAUUCAGAUUCUUGUGGCCUUGUAUCUGAAUCAGCCUUAUCUGUUUCUGCACUUGAUCUGGCUUUGUACAGAACUUUCUCAUUGAAGAUCACGUUCCUGCUUCUGAUAAUCUUUCUAUUCUGAUCAUCCCAGAACCGAUAUCCAAAUUCUUCAUCUCCAUAGCCGAUGAAGAAACAUUUCUUGGAUUUGGCAUCCAACUUGUUGCGAGCAUCAGAAUCUAUAUGAACAUAGGAAACACACCCAAAGACCUUUAAAUGAGAGAGUUGUACCUCUUUUCCUCUCCAUACUUCCUCGGGCAGUCUGAACUCCAAAGGAACUGAUGGUCCACGGUUGAUCAAGUAAACUGCGGUAUGAACUGCGUCGGCCCAGAAUGUUUGAGGUAACCCUGAAUGCAACCUCAUGCUUCUAGCUCGUUCAUUGAUGGUCAUGUUCAUCCGUUCAGCAACGCCAUUCUGUUGCGGUGUGCCUGGAACGGUCUUUUCCAUUCUGAUACCAUUAACAGCACAAUACUCUUUGAAACCUCCAUCAAUGUAUUCUCCUCCGUUAUCGGAUCUCAAGCAUUUCAACUUCAGACCUGAUUCAGUCUCAACCAUAGCCUUCCACUUCUUGAAUGUUUCAAACACAUCAGAUUUAUUUUUCAGAAAGUAAACCCAUACCUUCCUGCUGAAAUCAUCAAUGAAAGUCACGUAAUACCGAGAACCUCCAAGAGAUGCUACUGGAGACGGUCCCCAUAAAUCUGUGUGUACCAGCUCUAGCUUUCUUGGUCUUAAGGUCCUGCCAACCUUCAAGAAACUGAGCUUUUUCUGUUUUCCAAGAACACAGCUUUCACAAAUGUCUAGAUCGACAUUUUUUAAUUCUGCCAGCUUUCCCUUCGACUGAAGUAUCUUCAUCCCCUUUUGACUCAUAUGGCCGAGUCUACAGUGCCAUAGAUGUGCUUGAUUUUCUGCUUCAGUAGAGGCAAUAAUGUCUGCAAAUCUUGUGGUCAUAUACAGGGUGCCGGUUUUCUUUCCACGAGCCAAAACCAUUGCUCCCUUUGAUACCUUCCACAUACCUCCAGAAAAAAGGAUUGAAUGACCACUAUCAUCAAGUUGUCCGACCGAGAUCAGCUUCUUCUUUAGAUCAGGAACAUGCCUUACAUUUUGCAAGGUCCAUAUAGAUCCAUUCAUUGUCUUGAUUUGUACAUCUCCUAAACCCACAAUAUCCAAUGGUUGUCCAUCGGCCAGAUAGACUACACCGUGAUCUCCAGCAAUAUAGUUUUGCAUCAUUUCAUGGUGUGGUGUACAGUGAAAUGAAGCACCAGAAUCAAGAACCCAAUCAUCAACAGGACUAUGCACAGCAAGAAUCAAAGCAUCUUGCACCUCAUUUGUGGUAGCGUUUGCAGAGUCAGCUUCAGGUUUUUUUGGUUUUGUGCAAUUCCUCAUGAAAUGACCAGGUUUGCCACAAUUCCAACAUUCAACCUGCUUUCUGGGUCCAAACUUGCUUUUACUUCUAUAUCUUGAUUUUGAUCUGCCUCUGGAUAAGCCUCUAUCAUGUCUCCUCCCUCGAGUGUUGAUGUUGAGAGCUGAUCCUGAGCUUGAACUUUCACCCGAGUCUUUCCUUCGCACUUCUUCAGCCAAAAUCAAGUCUCGAAUGUCAUCAUACUUCAGUUUGGAUUUUCCAACUGAAUUGCUCACGGCUGUCCUCAUGCCUUCCCAACUGCUUGGAAGUGAAGCUAGCAAGAUGAGUGCACGAAUCUCAUCAUCAAACUCAAUCUCAACAAAUGAUAAUUGAUUUGUGAUGGUAUUAAAGUUAUUGAGGUGUUGUGUCACAGAAGUGUUUUCGACCAUCUUCAAGUUGAACAACUUUUUCAUCAGGUGCACUUUAUUAUUUGCUGAUGGCUUCUCAUACAUCCCAGACAAGGCUUCCAUCAAUCUUGCAGUGGAUCUUUCUUUCGUAACAUUGUGAGCAACUCUUCUUGAUAAGGAUAACCGGACAAUGCCCAGAACUUGUCUAUCAAGAAGUAGCCAAUCUUCUUCUUGCAUAUUUUCUGGUUUACUCCCCAACAAGGGAAGAUGAAGUUUCUUCCCAUAUAGAUAAUCCUCAAUUUGCAUUUUCCAGUAUCCAAAAUCUGUCCCGUCAAAUUUUUCAAUUCCAGCUGCUUUUAUUUCAUCUGCCAUUUUUACUACUUCUCCGAUUCGAAUUUCCCAAAUCUGACCUUACAGAUGUGUCCGGAACAGCCGAAAACCUUGGAAAUGACAAUGAGAUCACCCCAAUCGGACUUCGGAUGGCUCAGAUUUUAGCAAUCAAAGUUUUGAAUUAACGGACGGUGCAGAUGCAGCCGCGUGUCAACCAGAGUACCGCCUGCGUCGCACCGGAUCAAAACCUAAGUAGCGGUUCUGAUGAAGCCACGUGUCAGCAGAUUAGGUCCUGCGUCACACCGUAUCAAAACUCAGUAACGGUUAUGAUGAAGCCACGUGUCAGAAGAUGAUGGCCUGAGUCACACUGGAUCAAUACUCAAUAGUGGUCCUGAUUUAACCACGUGUCAACUGAUUGGAUCCUGCGUCGUACUGGAUCAAAACCCCUCCACGUGUCAGAAUAUCAGCUUCUGCGACACAUCGGAACAAAACUCAGCGAUGACGUGGCAGGUGACGUGGCAGGUGACGCGGACGUUGACCGUACGGCUGUGCUGACGUGGCGGGUCAGCCCGACCCGUUUUGCAGAAGCCGGGCGAAGAUGGAGCGUGGCGCGCGUACGGCGCGUUGGUGCGCGUGGGCAGUCUGGGCGUCGGCGCGUGUGGGCGCGUGCGGGCAUGCAGGACGUCGGUUCUUCGCCGAGUUUGCAACAGUGGAUUCGUCCGGUUGUCCUCUACACGAUGGUAUGUUCAAAAACACAUUUGGAGAACUUUGAUUUUUGAGUUUGGAUCAAACACCCUCUUUGUCAAGAACAAGCUCUGAUACCAGUUGUUGGGCUAUUUCCAGAACUCAAUCACACACAAUUUACGUGGUUCGGCAACUUGCCUACUCCACGGAGCUACUGGUUUGUAUUAAUGAAGCUUACAAACAAUACAAACAAAGGAGGAGGAGAUAAAACUCUCUCAACUCAACUCUACUCUCUCAAGCUCUCUCUAUUCUUCUCUGUUCUCUCUUCUCUCUGUGUUUCUCACGCUGCUCUCUCUGUGUUCUUCAUACACACACAGCUAUACAUAUACAAUUGAUGAUUGAAGGGGCAUGAUUGAUGCCCACCGUUGCCUCCACUUUGUGUCCUCCACCAUGUGCCAAGUGGGAGAUUAGGUAUUCCCACUUGCAUAUGGUGGGACAUUGUUUGUCUCCACUAACUAACACUCCCGGCAAUGAAUGAAAAACAGGUGACAUCACAUAUAAAUUUAGAAAGGUUAACCAUCUAGGUGGUGGUCCAGUGGUAAGAGUUUGAGAUUAAGAUGUUUGCUCCCUCUAUGGUUUUAGGUUCGGGCCCUGUGGUUGCUCAUAUGAUGACCACUGAAGGCUUACAUGGUCGUUAACUUCAGGGCCCGUGGGAUUAGUCGAGGUGCUCGCAAGCUGGCCCGGACACCCACGUUAAACUAAAAAAAAAAAAAAAGUUAAAUGUCUACUACAUUAAUUACACGUUGUCAGCUAGUCUUUUCAAAGAAUUUGUUUCGCCUUCCUCAAGACACCUUUUCUAAUCAGCACUAGGUUCAGAAAACUCUUCCCUAAAAAAAAAAACAGUACACCACCUCGCCAGUUGUCUCUCAAGAUACCUUUUAAAGAAAGUACGAGAUGACAUGCCCGCGCGCUGCCGCUGGCUUAUAAAACAAAUGUAUUUAAUAGUGUUAUAAUUGUGAACCAGCGCUAGAUAAGUAAUAGAAAUUAAAGGCAUGAUGGAGCAAAUAUUUCAUGACGAAAAAAAAAGUUGUGUUGGUGAUCCAAAACUUAGAGAUCGAACAAAAUGAUUUGUAGUAAUUUACAGUGUUUUGUGAGGAAAGAUACAGUGUUUUCGCCACAUGAUUUAACUUUUCAGUUAAUAAAAAGAAAAAAAAUUACAAAGCUAAAUUCUCUACCAACUUAAUAUUAAAAAAAAACCAACAAAGAUAAUUUUGGAAGGAAAAAACCAAUGAGAAAAAACAUUGUAGCAAUUGACAAUGUUUUGUGAGGAAAACUAUAACGCUUUUCCCAAUAAAAUAAAAGAAAAAACAAUUUAGAGAAAUAUUAUAGCAAUCCACAGUGUUUUGUGAGAAAAACUACAACUCUUUCCUCAUAUGAUUUAGUUUUAUUGUAAUUAUAAUUCUUAACCAACUCAAUAUUAAAAACAAAUCGACAAAGAUAAUUUUGAAAAAAAUCAUAAAAAAUCACAUGGAAAAACACUGCAACAAUUCACAGUGUUUUAAAGAAAAAAAAUAUAAAGCUAAAUUUUUAAUCAGCUCAAUAUUAAAAAAAAAAUCGACAGAGAGAAUUUAAGAAAAAAAAUAACAAAACAAACACCAAAAAAAGGAAAAAAAAUCAUGUUGAAAACACUGUAGCAAUUCACAGUGUUUUGUGAUGAAAGCUACAGUGCUUCUCCACAUGAUUUAGCCUUAUUUGUAAUGAUUUGUAAUUGUAAUUCACAAACAACUUAAUAUUAAAAAAAUAAAAUUGAAAAGGAUAAUUUGAAAAAAAAUUAUAAAAAAAACUAUGUGGGAAAAAACACUGUAGCAAAUGAACAGUAAUUUUCAAAAUAAGUUACAGUGUUUUCCUCACAUAUUGUAACUGUAAUUUUUAACCAGCUCAAUAUUAAAAAAUAAAAUAAAAAAAGAUAAUUUUGGAGACAAAAAAAAUAAUGUGGAGAAACACUGUAGCAAUCAACAAUGUUUUAAAGAAAAAAAAUUACAAAACCAAAUUCUCAAUCAGCUCAAUAUUAAAAAAAAUAGACAAAUAUAAUUUUGAAAAAUAAAGAAAUAAAAUAGAAAAACUAAGUGGAAAACAUCACAGCAAUCCACAGUAUUUUAAAGAAAAAAAUUACAAAGCAAAAAUUUUAACCAGGUCAAUAUUUAAAAGGUAAAAUCAACAAAAAUAAUUUAAAAAAAAAUAAAUGAAAAAAUAAGAAAAAAUAAGAAAGUUGAACAAAAACAUUUGAAAAAAAAAACGAAAAAAAAAAGAUAGGGAAAAGUAAUAAAUAAAAAAAACGAAAAAAAAAAGGGAAGGGAAAAAAAAAAGAAGGAGAAAAAUCAUUGUGGAUUACUGUUGUAAUUCACAGUAUUUUGUGUGUGGGGGAACAGUAAAUCCCCCACACGGUUUAGUAUAUUAGUUAAUAUUGGGUAUUUUAGUAGUUCUUAUAAUUAUAGUUUGAAAAAAAUUAUUUUAUAAAAAGUAAUUUUGGUUGAGGUUGAUUUGAUAUUUAUAUAUAUUUGGUUAAAAUUGUUGUUGAAAUUGAAGAUGAACAAAAAGUAGUUUAAUGUAUUUGGUUAAGAAUGCUUUUGAAUUGAGGUUAUAAAAUAAUUUUAAAAAAUAUAUAUUAAUAUUGAUGGUUUUUAAUUUAAAUAUUGUAGAUUUAACUAUUGUUAUUAUAUCAUGAAAUAAAUAAUACUUUAUAUAAAAUAUUUUUUAUUGUUCAAUUAAACUAUCUACAAUUCCAUUAGGUAUGAAAUACAUCCAACAAGGACUACAGUUUCCUUAGUUUCUUAAGUGCGCAACAACAUCAGGUAAAAUAUAAUCAGAAACAAAAUUGGGAUUGCGAUCAAAUUCUGCAAAUGCCACGUCAUCAAUAAAACACAAUUAAAAAUAAAAAAAAUAUUUUUUUUACUGAAUCGGACCCAGUUCUGCCGGAACAGUAGAGACAUGCUCCACUGUUCAUGUGAACAGUGGAGUCACUCUCCACGACUGAAAACAUCAUUGUGUUGCUUUAAGUGAUCCUGCAUUUUCAACGUAGAAAUUGAUGGAGCCCAUGCAUAGUGAAUUGUGUUUUCAUUCGUUACCAAACAUUUGUUUCCCGUGGUUGGCUUCAAACGCAGAAGCAACCAUGGAAAUAAACGGUCUCUUUAUGCAUUAUAUUUUGACUCAAUGUUUUUACAUUAAAAAAAAAGGUUAUCAAAGCUAAUAUACUUGGUCCAGUAGUUAGUUGGACUAAGGUAACAUAAGUCUGUCAAGUUGUUAGAAUUAAUAUACUUAGAUAUAACCAUCAGCUGAAUCUAAUGUAACAUGAAUCUAACAAGUUGCCGAACCCAAUACAUUUGGGUUUACCUGUCAGAUGAAUCCAAGGUAACAUAAGUCUGGCAAGCUAUCAGACUGAACAUACUUAAGUUCGGACAUCCACUAAACCUAAGGUGUAAUGAUUUUCUAUAAACACCUAUGCUUUUUUCAUCUGAGUUUGGCUAACAGCCAGGUUCAAUUGGUCUUAAAAAUUUAGGACUAUGGAGCUUUAUUAUAGAAUAAUAACAUGUCCUACUCAGGUCCAAAAAGUUUUUCGAAGAUCUAUCAUAUUUUCAAUCUCAUUAAUUAUAUGUGAUGAAUAUUUUUCCUUCAUUAAUACUGUGGUGAAUAGGGAAGAUAUAGACAUUGAUGAUGUGCUCGUCAAGAAAAAAAGAAAAUUCAAAUGCUUUUAAGAAAAUUAUGUGUUUAACUUUUGGUGUUCAAACUUCUCAUCAUCAUUUUCAAAACCACCAAUCAUCCACCAUGCGUUGUUCUUUAAAGUCAUCAUCCACCAUGAAAAACCACCAAUCAUCCACCAUGAAAAACCACCAAUCAUCUUGUCCAAAACAAAAAUGCCCCACUCAGCAACUGCAUUCUGCAUAGAUCCAAAACCCGACAUCUAGUUGCCAGUCUUUUAACUUCAACUUUGGUCCAAAUUCAAAGUACGUUUUUCUUGUAGCUGUCAAGAAGCUAAUUGACAAUAUAGGAAUUGACUACAUUGACAAGUAUCCAAAUUCAACUUUGCUCUUGAAUUUUUUAUUUGAUUACGUGGCAAUAAAAAAGGAUUUUUGUAAAAAAAUAAUAAUUUAAAUAUUAUAAAAAAAUGUGAUAUGUUAGUAUGAAUUCUAUUUUCCUUAUUAAUGUAUUUUCUUUAAAAAAAAAUAUUGUUUUUGGCAAUUUUGUUUAUUGCAUAAAAAACUAAAAUCAAUCAAAAUCAAUAUAUAUAUAAAAAUAACUAUUAAGAAUAAGGGGCUCUUUCACAAGCAUCCUCACUUCUUCCCUUUUAAGGUUAUUAUCAAUUUCCAUAGCAACUCCUUAUUCAUUGCUACCAUAUCUACAGUUCAUUGCUUGAUCAGCAAAGAAGGGGCAACACAACAUUGGCACACCAGUAGCUGGAGGGGACCAAUGGAAUAAACCCUAGAUAAUACAGUGCAGAGGGCAUCCUAAACUUCUGACUCCAAUGCAUCAAAAGAGUGAAAAUUAAGCAAUUGCAUGAGCUUUAGUAGGAGUUUCAACUGCUCCCAUGGCAAAGUGAAAUAAAAAAUCAUCUGGAUCUGUUGUUUGAAUAGAUAAAAUUUUUUUUUCAGACGGACGCCUUUCAUACCUGGAACCCUGUCUAUAUUAGUGUCAAGAUUUCUUAGAUAGCUCCUAUCUACAGGAUCAUUGAUCUAACUCAUAUAUUGUGCAGGAUCAUUGAUAUAACUCAUGUAUCAUGCACUAUUUAAUAACUUAUGAAGUAUUUUAAAUUGACAUGCAUAUCACAUGAAUAAAGAGACUUCCUCCUUUUAUUGACUUUCUAAGCUCGGAUAUUAGGGCCAGUACUAUUGAAAAGAAUUUGAUAGAGGUCUUAAAAUUCAGACCAUCAACUUUUCAAAUUGCAUAAAAAAUAAUAAUUCAAGCCAUAAUGAACUCUAAUGUAAAAACAAAAGGGUACAAAGAACCUUAAAAAUUCAACGGAGCUUGCGUGAAAAUUAUUCGAGGUCAAUCUUCAUAUUAAGCUCCGUCGUUUAUUCUUAUUAUUACACACAGCAUGCAAACCUUCAAAAACAAAAAAACUACUGAUCAUGGGCUGAUUCGUGUUUUAUUCAUAGAGUCACGAUUUCAUGAUGAUGUCCACAGUUCCUUUACGCAUCAUUGCCCAUCACAGCAUACGCCUUAGGCACGAGGCAGAGAGCGUCCCUCGUAUGCAUAGCAAGACCGGGUUGCGUAUGAUCAACGUCUAUGUCUUCCCUCUUCAUCCCACCAGGCAUUUCCCAGUCAAAUUUGUAGAGAAGAUUAGAAAGUGAAAGCUCCACGGUGGCAAUUCCCAUAUAUAUACCAGGACAAAGUCUUCGACCCGCACCAAAUGGUAUCAGCUCAAAAUCUUGUCCUUUCAAAUCAAUAGAACUGCCCAAGAACCUAUCAGGAAUGAACACAUACGGGUUCUCCCAAACUUCUGUGUCCCUUCCAAUAGCCCACGCAUUGACGUAAACUAAGGUCUUGGCUGGUAUUUCGUACCCACCUAUGGUACACUCCGUAGUUGUUUCUCUUGGGACUAGUAGUGGUGCUGUUGGUUGCAAUCUCAUGGUCUCUUUAACCACAGCUUUAAGGUAAGGCAAUUGUUGAACAUCAUCUUCGUACACAAAACCUUUAUCUCCUAUCACCUUUCGAACUUCUUCUUGAGCUUUUCUCAUUGCUUCAGGUUUUUUCAUUAGAAGGCUCAUGGCCCAGAUCACAGUAGCAGCAGCUGUAUCAGUCCCACCAACAAAUAUGUUCUGCAAGGAUCAGGAAAAUAAAAUAAAAUGUAAGGUUAUUGAUAUUUGAAACCAUUUACAAUAUUCAAAUCCAAAUCAUUUUGCUUGGGAAAUGAAAAUUAAAAGGCCGAAUUU
RNAcentral lists this long non-coding RNA (28812 nucleotides) under Populus trichocarpa (black cottonwood). Its description in RNAcentral is "long non-coding RNA (PTRI_LNC000538)". Lineage: Eukaryota; Viridiplantae; Streptophyta; Magnoliopsida; Malpighiales; Salicaceae. The record is from RNAcentral.